GGUGGAUUCAUUGUUGCCAAAGAUGAUAUUGAACCAUGGAUGAUCUGGGGCUACUAUAUUUCUCCCAUGAUGUACGGACAGAAUGCCAUAGCCAUCAAUGAAUUUCUUGAUGAAAGAUGGAGUGCUCCCAAUCAAGGCCGAACAUAUUCUGAACCUACAGUUGGAAAAUUUCUUCUGAAAAUGAGAGGCAUGUUCUUGGAAGAAUAUUGGUAUUGGAUUUCAGUUGGGGCACUUGUCGGAUUUUCUCUACUUUUCAACGUUCUUUUCGUAUGGGCGUUGACAUAUUUGGAUCCUUUGGGAGAUACUAAAUCCAUUCUUCUAGAUGAUGACGCGAGCAAGAAGAAGUCAUCCUCUAAUGGGCAGCAAACAAAAUCCACUGAAAUGGUUUCAUUAUCAACUGCCCCACUGUGUCAAGGUACUGAUAUGGCAGUGGGCAACACUCCUGACAGGCCAGCUGUUACUUCAACGGGGCAUGCACCUACGAAAAGAGGAAUGGUGCUGCCCUUCCAGCCCUUGUCACUAGCAUUUAAUCAUGUGAAUUACUAUGUUGAUAUGCCUGCUGAAAUGAAAAACCAAGGAAUUGAAGAGGAUCGGCUCCAGCUGUUACAAGAUGUUAGUGGAGCUUUAAGGCCUGGUAUUCUGACAGCACUGGUUGGUGUAAGUGGUGCAGGGAAGACUACCCUGAUGGAUGUUCUAGCAGGAAGGAAAACUGGAGGCUACAUUGAAGGAAGUGUCAGCAUUUCUGGUUAUCCAAAGAAGCAA
Molecule: unclassified non-coding RNA, 762 nt
Filed under: Hevea brasiliensis (rubber tree)
Lineage: Eukaryota; Viridiplantae; Streptophyta; Magnoliopsida; Malpighiales; Euphorbiaceae
Source: RNAcentral